This 189-nucleotide non-coding RNA is filed under the name Peribacillus asahii. RNAcentral's name for it is "6S RNA". It matches the Rfam family "6S / SsrS RNA". Rfam says of the family: E. coli 6S RNA was the first non coding RNA to be sequenced, but its function was unknown until recently. It consists of 184 nucleotides that fold into an extended hairpin structure with a large single-stranded internal bulge. The 6S RNA specifically associates with RNA polymerase holoenzyme containing the sigma70 specificity factor. RNAcentral also lists the same sequence under 1 other name. The record is from RNAcentral. Lineage: Bacteria; Bacillati; Bacillota; Bacilli; Caryophanales; Bacillaceae.
UAUAAGCUGCGUUGUACGUAAUGAUAAUUAAGUUUUAACCUUUAAGCUGUAAUAGGGAGUUUUAUAUUAAAACAGGAAUGUUAAGCCUAGUCACUGACCUGGACAACAGGAAUGUUUUUGCAAACACCCACUUUGAGGAGUGGUGGUUUAAAACUUUCUUACUUGAACUACGGCAAUUGCGGCUUUUUA